GAUGAACGCUGGCGGCGUGCCUAAUACAUGCAAGUCGAGCGAACGGACGAGAAGCUUGCUUCUCUGAUGUUAGCGGCGGACGGGUGAGUAACACGUGGAUAACCUACCUAUAAGACUGGGAUAACUUCGGGAAACCGGAGCUAAUACCGGAUAAUAUUUUGAACCGCAUGGUUCAAAAGUGAAAGACGGUCUUGCUGUCACUUAUAGAUGGAUCCGCGCUGCAUUAGCUAGUUGGUAAGGUAACGGCUUACCAAGGCAACGAUGCAUAGCCGACCUGAUAGGGUGGUCGGCCACACUGGAACUGAGACACGGUCCAGACUCCUAGGGGAGGCAGCAGUAGGGAAUCUUCCGCAAUGGGCGAAAGCCUGACGGAGCAACGCCGCGUGAGUGAUGAAGGUCUUCGGAUCGUAAAACUCUGUUAUUAGGGAAGAACAUAUGUGUAAGUAACUGUGCACAUCUUGACGGUACCUAAUCAGAAAGCCACGGCUAACUACGUG
RNAcentral lists this ribosomal RNA (497 nucleotides) under uncultured bacterium. RNAcentral's name for it is "partial 16S ribosomal RNA". It matches the Rfam family "Bacterial small subunit ribosomal RNA", at positions 28 to 507 of the family's 1533-position model. The record is from RNAcentral.